Non-coding RNA from Paramuricea clavata, 731 nucleotides. Lineage: Eukaryota; Metazoa; Cnidaria; Anthozoa; Malacalcyonacea; Plexauridae. The record is from the annotation of a GenBank genome assembly.
CUCUGAUCGGUUUUCUCACGCCGGAGUAUUUGAAUUUCUUAAGUUACAAGUUAUUCCCCGAUUUACGGGUACGGGUACGUGUAUAUCACCCGUACCCGUAAACCGAAAUCGGGGUAUCUUAACCUCUCUAAUAGUGGGAUACGUCACGAUCUGGGAGAAAUCUCAGUGCAGCCAGCGAUACAGAGCGAGCAUAUACUUUCGAAGCUAGGUCGGCUUUCCAGGCCGAACACGAUCGAGGAAUUCGUCCUAAAAGACGAAAAAUAAUUAAACGAGAAAGAGCGAGAGAGAUAUACAGGGAUGUUUGAAAGAGAAAAAAGAUCUGAGAGGGAAAGAAAAAUGCAGGUGCGAUUUAUUAUCGAGCACGAAAAUAGGAAGAAAAUAGAAGCUAGUCGUUCGUGUACGUACACAAAGAGGGGAACGUGCUGUUGACUUCUGGCGACUGUGGGACAAAGAGAAAAUGUUACGCAGUACGAGCAACAUGUGAGUAAAAUAGCAUAAAUUUAUACAUUCAAAACUAGUCAAAACUGUACUUCUCGUAAUACCAUCCGCAUAUUUUAAAGACAGUGUCCUAUAAAUACGUGAAGUAAUUCGUAAAGUUCCUGAAACCCGAAGCUAUUAUAUAUUUCGAAUUUCCCAAUUUAAUACCCACACUGAAACAAUUAACAUGUAAUACUACAGAUAUACUCGAUAAAUGUAUAGUGUUCUAUACUGAAUUCUACAGAUCAGCAGAC